GGCUCAGUUGGUAGAGCAUGGUGUGUGCAACACCAGGGUUGUGGGUUCGAUUCCCAU
RNAcentral lists this transfer RNA (57 nucleotides) under Salmo salar (Atlantic salmon). It matches the Rfam family "tRNA", at positions 9 to 63 of the family's 71-position model. Rfam says of the family: Transfer RNA (tRNA) molecules are approximately 80 nucleotides in length. The record is from Rfam by way of RNAcentral. Lineage: Eukaryota; Metazoa; Chordata; Actinopteri; Salmoniformes; Salmonidae. RNAcentral also lists the same sequence under 1 other name.